Molecule: ribosomal RNA, 253 nt
Filed under: uncultured bacterium
Lineage: Bacteria
Description: partial 16S ribosomal RNA
Rfam family: Bacterial small subunit ribosomal RNA
Source: RNAcentral
UACGUAGGCAGCAAGCGUUGUUCGGAAUUACUGGGCGUAAAGAGUGUGUAGGCGGUGCUCUAAGUCUGUUGUGAAAUCUCCCGGCUUAACUGGGAGGGUGCGGCGGAGACUGGAGUGCUAGAGUGUGGGAGAGGUAAGCGGAAUUCCUGGUGUAGCGGUGAAAUGCGUAGAUAUCAGGAGGAACACCUGUGGUGUAGACAGCUUACUGGACCACGACUGACGCUGAGACACGAAAGCGUGGGUAGCAAAUGGG